UUGUGCUAACUGAACAAUUUGAAACUAUAGGUGUGUGUCACUUAUUAGAAGCUUCUCCAUGAGAAAGAAGAUGUUUGAACAUGAUGGAGUUUGUAAUUUGUAGUUUAUAUUUUAGAGAUUUAUAAUUCCUUGUUUUUCUUGUCCUAUGUAUCUAUCUAGUUCAUUAGGGUUCUUCAAUGUGUCUUGUUAGUUUGUACUUUAAAGUUUAUAUGUUGAAGAUUUAUAAAACAAUCUUAGUUAAAUGAAAGAUAUUUGAACUAUCUAUGUUGUUAUAUAUUAUAUGAAUGCUGACUUGCUGAGUAAA
Non-coding RNA from Arachis ipaensis, 304 nucleotides. Lineage: Eukaryota; Viridiplantae; Streptophyta; Magnoliopsida; Fabales; Fabaceae. The record is from RefSeq and is a predicted model, not a curated record.